AAUCUUGUGGUGAAAUUUUCAUACUAGGCUGCAGUCCUAUAGAUACAGAUAAUCUGUCAAGAUUU
Molecule: transfer RNA, 65 nt
Filed under: Eptatretus burgeri (inshore hagfish)
Lineage: Eukaryota; Metazoa; Chordata; Myxini; Myxiniformes; Myxinidae
Description: transfer RNA-Cys
Source: RNAcentral